This 77-nucleotide transfer RNA is filed under the name Moraxella sp. FZFQ2102. Its description in RNAcentral is "tRNA-Arg". It matches the Rfam family "tRNA". From Rfam's summary of the family: Transfer RNA (tRNA) molecules are approximately 80 nucleotides in length. Their secondary structure includes four short double-helical elements and three loops (D, anti-codon, and T loops). Further hydrogen bonds mediate the characteristic L-shaped molecular structure. tRNAs have two regions of fundamental functional importance: the anti-codon, which is responsible for specific mRNA codon recognition, and the 3' end, to which the tRNAs corresponding amino acid is attached (by aminoacyl-tRNA synthetases). tRNAs cope with the degeneracy of the genetic code in two manners: having more than one tRNA (with a specific anti-codon) for a particular amino acid; and 'wobble' base-pairing, i.e. permitting non-standard base-pairing at the 3rd anti-codon position. RNAcentral also lists the same sequence under 2 other names. The record is from RNAcentral. Lineage: Bacteria; Pseudomonadati; Pseudomonadota; Gammaproteobacteria; Moraxellales; Moraxellaceae.
GCACCCAUAGCUCAGUUGGAUAGAGUGUCAGCCUCCGAAGCUGAAGGUCGCCAGUUCGAUUCUGGCUGGGUGCGCCA